RNAcentral lists this long non-coding RNA (256 nucleotides) under Monodelphis domestica (gray short-tailed opossum). RNAcentral's name for it is "lncRNA (ENSMODG00000050996.1)". The record is from RNAcentral. Lineage: Eukaryota; Metazoa; Chordata; Mammalia; Didelphimorphia; Didelphidae.
AUCUAUCAGACCAGAUGAUGGGUUGUAGCAUCUGCUCACCAUUUUCUGUUUCUCUCCCAAACUAGCUUUGGUCCUGGUAUGCCAAACUUACCCAGCAAUGACGGGAGAGUGCCUUUUUCUGCUCUGAUGUACUAAAUUGAAGCUUGAAAGGAAUAAUAAACUGGAGGAAUUCCAUGGGGACUGGAACAACCUCCAGGAAGUGAUGCAGAGCGAGAGGAGCAGAACCAGGAGAAUAUUGUACACAGAGACUGAUACA